Molecule: ribosomal RNA, 251 nt
Filed under: uncultured bacterium
Lineage: Bacteria
Description: partial 16S ribosomal RNA
Rfam family: Bacterial small subunit ribosomal RNA
Source: RNAcentral
GCAAGUCGAACGGUAGAGGAACUUCGGUUUCUUGAGAGUGGCGAACGGGUGAGUAACACUUAGAUGAUCUGCCUUGAAGUUUUGGAUAGCCUAUAGAAAUAUGGGGUAAUACCGGAUAAUACCUUAGAACUCUGGUUUUUUGGUGAAAUGGGCUUCGGCCUCGCUUUAAGAUGAGUCUGCGGCUUAUUAGCUAGUUGGUAGGGUAAAGGCCUACCAAGGCGACGAUAAGUAGCCGGCCUGAGAGGGUGACC